UUAGAAGGGAUGUCAAUAGAAAGACUGAAAAAAUAUUUCCUGAGGUUGAUUAUGGGAAGUGAGUUUUUCUCUACAAAAAGAAUCCCCAAUGUUAUACACACCCACACACUGUAGCAACCUUACUUUGAUCCGGAUGAGACUUUCUUCAUAUCUCCUCAGUGCUGCUUCUAGAUCAGUGGGUGGGAGAAGGGGAUUGUUGCAAGUUGCCUGGCAGCCAAAGGAAGCGAGAAACCAGAACCAGGAAUUAAAACAGGUUCUCUCACAAGAACCCAGAUUGUCAUGAGCUUGUCUGCCGUAUUGUGGCAGAACCGGCCAAUGGGAGCUGCGGGGGGGGAGGCGGUGCCUGUGGGCGAGAGCCGCUUGUGCGCCUCCGCCUAGGAGCUGGACCUGCUGCUGGCUGCUUCAGGCGCAGCACAGUCCAUGGUGCCAGUACGGGUGGGAAGCCUGCCUCUGCACCCCAGCUGCGCCACGGACCAGGAGCCGCUGGAGGUAAGUCCAUGCCCCAACCCCACACCCCAAUCCCCUGCCCCAGCCCAGAGCCCCCCCAAAAAACCUGGAACCCCUUCCUGCACCCCAAUCCCCUCGGCCCCGGCCCCAGCCCAAAGCCUGCACCCCCAGCCCAGAGCCCUGACUCCCUUCUGCACCGCAACCCUCUGGCCCAGCCCUGAGCCGCUCCCACACCCCAAACCCCUCAUCCCCAGCUCCGCUGGGUCAUGGGCAUCAACAAUUUUCUUCAACUGGGUCCCCAGAAAAGAAGUUUGAAAACCACGGAUCUAGAACACAUCAGUGGACAUCGGCAAUACCAGGAGAGAUGAGCUGGAAUGCCGAUGAGAAGCGAAAUCAGAAAGUAACUGAAAUACUUCUCUUAUGGAUUAUAUCUACUAAGGGACAACCCAUCUUGAAUGUUCAAUUACUGAGGGACAAUCUACACUCAUUCCUAUAUUUGCUUUCUACAACCCACUGUAUGUAUAACUUUUGAUGAGUGAUGUACCGAGUAUUCGGAUUCUAAUAUCUAAAUUGUAUCAUUAAAUUUAUCUAAUUUGGGUUAUUGCAGAUUAUGUAUUUAUUGGGGUGGGCAAACUACGGCCCAGGGGCCACAUCCAGCCCUCCAGAUGUUUUAAUCCGGCCCUCAAGCGCCUGCCGGGAAGUGGGGUCCAGGGCUUGACCCACUCCGUACACCUCCCAGAAGCAGCGGCAUGUCCCCCCUACAGCUCCUAUGCAUAGGGGCAGCCAGGGAACCACAGCCCAUGGGAGCUGCAGGGGCGGCGCCUGCGGACAGGGCAGCGCGCAGAGCUGCCUGGCCGCACCUCCAGCUAGGAGCGGGAGGGGAGAUAUGCCGCUGUUUCUGGGAGCUACUUGAGGUAAGCGCUGCCCAGAGCCUGCCCCCUGACUCCUUCCCACGUCCCAACCCCCUGCCCCAGCCCUGAUCCCCCUCCCGCCCUCCGAACCUGUCCCAGCCCGGAGCACCCUCCUGAACCUUCAACCCCUCAUCCCCAGCCCCGCCGCCCCAGAGCCUGCACCCCCAGCCGGAUCCCUCCCACCCUCCCGCACCCAACCCCAAUUUUGUGAGCAUUCAUGGCCCGCCAUACAACUUCCAUACCCAUAUGUGGCCCUCGGACCAAAAGGUUUGCCCACCCCUGUACUAUAUUGUAUCUUAUGAGUUUUUAAACAAACUUUGUAUACACGGAUAAUCUAAGCACUAUACCCAGAUAUACAGGCACUCUUUUCUCAACCUGUGUAUUAUAUAAUUUUAACAUUAGCUUUAAGUAUUGCGCAUCAGUGUAAUCGGCUACACACUAUAGCCUUUUAUAGUGUCAGACUUCUGUCAGUAAGAAUUCUGCGCUUUUUUUAUUGACACUGUAAACUCCUUGUGCCAGAACUAUCUUUUACAAGGCAUUAAUCUUUAACCCAUAACCUAAACUCAGAAUAAUAAACAUUUAUAUCUUAGAGUUAAAAUGUUUGCUAAAUUAGUGCAAACAAAACUAAAAGGAGGAGCAAGCAAAGAAACAAAGCUCAUUUUAAAAUAGGCUUUGCAGUGAGCCUGAGGCUUAGUAUUUAGCUUGAGGCGUAGUACCAGUAAUAGUUAGUGUUAGGAUAUAUAUAUUUAGGCCUGUCUGUAAAGGUCUAUACUUUUAGAAUUUAGGUAUAGGUUUAUCAUUUAGCUAGUUAUAGAGGUAUAAAAGAAAGAAUCAAAACCACUGUCUGCCUGUGUAAGGGCCUUCUCUCACUGUGACAGUCCUGAGGCCCUGUUCUUAGGCUAAGGCACUUUGGCUAAGCAGUGGGAGCAGCCAUAAGCUGGAAAGUUUAUGAUUAUGUCCUCACAAUUUCAAACCAGUCAUAUUGAAAUAAGGCAAUCUGGGGCUGUUAGAAAGGUGAUCCGAUCUAUCACCUCCAGAUAAAGGGAAGAGCCUAGAAGAUGUAAAAGGAAAUUUAGUUUGAUAGUUUUCUGUUUGGUAAGAACUCACUUAUUAAUAGACAUAGUUGGGAAACCCUUAUGUCUUUAAUAGGUGUAGUUGUGAAAUCCUCACUUCUAUAUUGUUUUGUCAUUAUAGUUCCCACUUUGCUAUUGUUUAUUUGCAUGGUCUGUCUGGUUCUCGGAUUGUUUCUGUCUGCUGUAUAAUUAAUUUUGCUGGGUGUAAACUAAUUAAGGUGGUGGGAUAUAAUUGGUUAGCUGAUCGUAUUACAAUAUGUUAGGAUUGGUUAGGUAAAUUUCAGUAAAAUGUUGGUUAAGGUAUAGCUGAGAAUAUUUCUGUAUAAAUUAGGAGCAAACAGGAAGUAAGUUGGGAUUCGAAAAUAAGGAAAAAGGAACUUGUUUUUAAGCUUGCUGGAAGUUCACCCCAAUAAACAGCUAAUUGUUUGCACCUUUGGACUUCGGGUAUUGUUGCUCUCUGUUCAUGCAAGACGGACCAGGGAAGUGGGAGGGUGAAGGAAUAAGCCCUCUAAUAGUUAGCAUAAGGCCACAUUAAGUCUAAUAUAAAUUAGCAUAAGUAAGUAACCUUGGGUCAGAAGAUUUACCAACAUGUAUCUUGUGACAGACUGUUAGACCACAAAGUAAUAGUUCAGGUUUUAACUAGCCAGAUUUUGGUACUUUCCUAACAGCAUUGCAUAAAGAACCAUGGCAAUACCUAUUAGCACAAAUUCUUGCGACAACAGUUGAACUGGAUACCAGUAAUGACAAACAUGGACAAGAGGCCAAUACUUAAUCAAAUAUGGUCUCAGAAAUGGGUGGUGUGAGUAAUAGGUGCAUAAAAAGCAAUCAAACAUGACCCUCAGCAGGUCCUUAGGAUGACAGGAUGGUG
RNAcentral lists this long non-coding RNA (3299 nucleotides) under Chelydra serpentina (North American snapping turtle). Its description in RNAcentral is "lncRNA (ENSCSRG00000016309.1)". Lineage: Eukaryota; Metazoa; Chordata; Testudines; Chelydridae. The record is from RNAcentral.